Homo sapiens (human) is the source of this 426-nucleotide long non-coding RNA. The record is from Ensembl. Lineage: Eukaryota; Metazoa; Chordata; Mammalia; Primates; Hominidae.
CCCCUUUUGCUCUCGCUCUCUCCUGCUGACAGUGAGAAGAUGGGCUUGCUUCCCCUUCACCCUUUGCCAGGAUUGUAAGUUUCCUGAGGCUUCUGUACAGCCUGCAGAACUAUGAGCAUGCAGAGGUCAGGACAAGAGCAGCUGGUCCAGCCACACUGUGUGCACAGGGACAGGCCUGUCUUCACCUGUGCUCACCGGGGCCUCUUCCAGAGGUCUCUGCAGCAGAAAGCAUGUGCUCCACGUACCGGCCCCCAGCGUCCCACCAGACCAGCGCCGAUCCCUGUGGGAGCUGAAGAGGAACUGUGCUGAAUGAGAACAUUUAAAGUGAAUCAUGUGUGGACUCCCUAUGCUCCCUGACUCCUUGUUUAUUUCUACCUUUUCUGGCGGAUGCUAUUAAUAAAAUGCUAGGAAAAUCUUUAAACAUGA